AACGAACGCUGGCGGCAGGCCUAACACAUGCAAGUCGAACGAAGUCUUCGGACUUAGUGGCGGACGGGUGAGUAACACGUGGGAACGUACCUUUUGGUUCGGAACAACUCCGGGAAACUUGAGCUAAUACCGGAUAAGCCCUUCGGGGGAAAGAUUUAUCGCCAUUAGAGCGGCCCGCGUUAGAUUAGCUAGUUGGUGAGGUAAAGGCUCACCAAGGCUACGAUCUAUAGCUGGUCUGAGAGGAUGAUCAGCCACACUGGGACUGAGACACGGCCCAGACUCCUACGGGAGGCAGCAGUGGGGAAUCUUGCGCAAUGGGCGAAAGCCUGACGCAGCCAUGCCGCGUGAAUGAUGAAGGUCUUAGGAUUGUAAAAUUCUUUUACCAGGGACGAUAAUGACGGUACCUGGAGAAAAAGCCCCGGCUAACUUCGUGCCAGCCGCCGCCGUAA
RNAcentral lists this ribosomal RNA (449 nucleotides) under uncultured bacterium. RNAcentral's name for it is "partial 16S ribosomal RNA". It matches the Rfam family "Bacterial small subunit ribosomal RNA", at positions 29 to 523 of the family's 1533-position model. The record is from RNAcentral.